AGGUUUCGUAGGUGAACUGCGGAAGGAUCAUUGUCGAAAAUUGCCAGGCAGAGCGACCCGCGGACAUGUUGAAAUAAAUCGUCGGGGGCGCACGGCGUCAAACGUGGCACGGUGCCCUCGACCGCCGGCACCUUACGGCCUGCUCCAGGAGCGGCAACGGGGGUGCGGGGCAAGGCUUGGCACAAGCAUGAACCCCGGCGCGGAUCGCGCCAAGGAACGGUAACAUAGCGUGCGCUGCCCUGCCGCCGGAUGCCCGGCGAGCGAGGGGGCGACCUGUCGUAUCUGGACGACUCUCGGCAACGGAUAUCUCGGCUCUCGCAUCGAUGAAGAACGUAGCGAAAUGCGAUACUUGGUGUGAAUUGCAGAAUCCCGUGAACCAUCGAGUCUUUGAACGCAAGUUGCGCCCGAAGCCUCUAGGCUGAGGGCACGUCUGCCUGGGCGUCACGCAUAGCGUCGCCCGCGACCAAGCCACCGCGUCUGUGCAUGCUAGGUCUGGGCGGAGAGUGGCCUCCCGUGCGCCGUUGUGCGGCUGGCCUAAAGUUGGAGCUCGGCGGCUGUGACACGACGUCCGGUGGUCGACAAGGCGAAGGCCAAGGUUGCAUCGCGUCGCGCUCGGCACGUCGCCCGUGAAGCUCGCAC
RNAcentral lists this ribosomal RNA (639 nucleotides) under Nepenthes reinwardtiana. RNAcentral's name for it is "eukaryotic LSU rRNA". The stretch from base 289 to 444 matches the Rfam family "5.8S ribosomal RNA". The record is from RNAcentral. Lineage: Eukaryota; Viridiplantae; Streptophyta; Magnoliopsida; Caryophyllales; Nepenthaceae.